Molecule: ribosomal RNA, 381 nt
Filed under: uncultured bacterium
Lineage: Bacteria
Description: bacterial SSU rRNA
Rfam family: Bacterial small subunit ribosomal RNA
Source: RNAcentral
GAACGCUAGCGGCAGGCUUAACACAUGCAAGUCGAGGGGUAUUGGUUUUCGGACCAAGAGACCGGCGCACGGGUGCGUAACGCGUAUGCAAUCUACCUUUUACAGGGGAAUAGCCCAGAGAAAUUUGGAUUAAUGCCCCAUAGUAUGUAUUAAUUGCAUGAUUGAUAUAUUAAAGUACCAACGGUAAAAGAUGAGCAUGCGUCCCAUUAGUUAGUUGGUAAGGUAACGGCUUACCAAGACGAUGAUGGGUAGGGGUCCUGAGAGGGAGAUCCCCCACACUGGUACUGAGACACGGACCAGACUCCUACGGGAGGCAGCAGUGAGGAAUAUUGGACAAUGGGCGCAAGCCUGAUCCAGCCAUGCCGCGUGCAGGAAGACGGU